GACAGAGGGUGCAAACGUUGUUCGGAAUCACUGGGCGUAAAGCGCCCGCAGGCGGCCUGACAAGUCGGAUGUGAAAGCCCUGGGCUCAACUCAGGAAUUGCAUUCGAAACUGGCAGGCUUGAGUACGGGAGAGGGGGGUGGAAUUCCUGGUGUAGGGGUGAAAUUCGUUGAUAUCAGGAGGAACACCGGCGGCGAAGGCGGCCCCCUGGCCCGCAACUGACGCUCAUGGUCGAAAGCGUGGGGAGCAAACAGG
This 253-nucleotide ribosomal RNA is filed under the name uncultured bacterium. RNAcentral describes it as "partial 16S ribosomal RNA". It matches the Rfam family "Bacterial small subunit ribosomal RNA", at positions 524 to 776 of the family's 1533-position model. The record is from RNAcentral.